UACAGAGGCCUCGAGCGUUGUUCGGAAUUACUGGGCGUAAAGGGAGUGUAGGUGGUGAUGUAAGUCAGAUGUGAAAGCCCUGGGCUUAACCCGGGAAGUGCAUUUGAUACUGCAUCGCUAGAGUGCGAGAGAGGAUAGCGGAAUUCCCAGUGUAGGAGUGAAAUCCGUAGAUAUUGGGAGGAAUACCGAUGGCGUAGGCAGCUAUCUGGCUCGUAACUGACACUGAGACUCGAAAGCGUGGGUAGCAAACAGG
This 253-nucleotide ribosomal RNA is filed under the name uncultured prokaryote. Its description in RNAcentral is "partial 16S ribosomal RNA". It matches the Rfam family "Bacterial small subunit ribosomal RNA", at positions 524 to 776 of the family's 1533-position model. The record is from RNAcentral.